UCUAUUGACAGAUUGUCCCUUUUCUGGUAUGGGUUUUGUAAACCUCAGGAGCUGUAAUGUUCUUGUUUGAAGGCAAUUUUGGUAAUAUCUUGCACAUAGGAGAUUGCAGACUCACGGCUGAGUGUGUACAAAGUUUACCAAAGAAGUUUGUUGCCAAGAAAGGAAAAGUACCAAGGUGUCAACUUGAUUAUGUUUUCCUAGACUGCACAUUUGGGAGAUUUCGUCAGAACCUUCCCAGCAAGCACUCAGCAAUCCAACAGGUUAUUAAUUGUAUAUGGCAGGAUCCUGAUGCCCUUGUGGUUUAUCUGACCUGUGACCUUCUUAGCCAGGAAGAAAUUCUGGCAAAUGUGUCCCAAACAUUUGGGUCCAAGAUCUAUGUUGAUAAAGCCUCUAAUCCAGAGUGUUUCCAAGCUCUAACCCUAACAUUUCCUGACAUUAUCUCUGAAGAUUCCUCGUCCCACUUCCAGGUAUUAGAUGGAUUUCCUAAACUAUAUGAAAGAGCAAAAGCAAAGCUUUUGGAGGCCCAAGCUCACUGCCAGCCUACCCCUCUCAUAAUCCGCCCAUCAGCACAGUGGUAUGCAUGUGAGGAAGAGUUCUUGGAGAAUGAAAGUCAAAGAAAACUGAGAAUGAAUGAGGCAGUAAGGGACCAAUUUGGUGUUUGGCAUGUUUGUUACUCCAUUCACUCAUCCAAGGAAGAAUUAGAAUGGGCCCUGCAACUUCUUGUGCCGAAAGGGGUUGUUUCAACAACCCGCAGUUGCAGGGCCAUGGAGCUAGAUUUUGUUAAGAAACACUGCUUUGGCAAUCAAGUAGCUCCAAAUGACCCUAUCUGGAAGCUUCUUGAUAUUUCCACAGAAGGUUCUCCAGAUUUGGAUGUAUCCGUCAAAGGUGUUAGUGGUUCUCCUAUGGUUGAAGAGCACACCCAAACUUAUGCUCAACCUCAAUUUGAACCAGUAAAAGUAUCUACUGGCCUAAAAGGACUUAUAAAAUUGUCCCCUCCAAGCAAAAAAGUGACAUUAUUUGGAAGAGCGAGACUUGGUCUCCAAGAUUUUAGUUUUUCACAUGAAGGUCCAAUAGUUGCAUCUAUCAACAAUAACCCUCCACAAAUAUCUGCCAGCAAAGUAGAAGAAUUCUCAUUCCAGGAGGAAACUGAAGUGAAAUGCCAUAAGUCAGAAAGCAAGACAGGAGCUGGCAGAACCAUCAAUAAGAGAUGCAUUUGUUUCUUGCAUUCAACAAGGUGCAGAUCGUGUGAUUGUAAGCCCAUUUUUUCUCUUCCCUGGACGACACUGGCAUCAGGAUAUUCCUUCGUUAGCUGCUGAAGCUGCAAAAGAACACCCUAAUGUGUCAUAUAUCGUUACUGCACCUCUUGGUCUGCAUGAUCUACUUGUGGUGCCUUGAUAAAGCCGCUGUAGUGUCAGAUGUUGAGAGCAAAAGUGAGGAAUUCUCCAAUCCAUGGAGGCUUUGCACUGUAACACAGGUGGAAGAAUUGAAGAUUUUGAUCCGCAUGUUUCCAAUCUGGGCUACUGGAAUUGUCUUUUCUGCUGUUUAUGCCCAGAUGUGUACAAUGUUUGUGGAGCAAGGAAUGAUGAUGGACACAAGCAUUGGUUCUUUCACCAUUCCCGCAGCCUCUCUCUCAUCCUUUGAUGUCAUCAGUUUUAUUUUUUGGGUCCCCAUGUAUGAUAGGGUAAUUAUUCCAAUUGCAAGGAAAUUUAUUGGCAAGGAGCGAGAUUGUAUGACAAGGUUUAUAUUAUGAGAUUUGUAUUACUGGAAAGGUUUGCUCUGUAGAAAUUUGUAUUACAAGAUUUAUAUUAUGAGAUUGUAGGAUCUGCAUUUACAAAGUUGGACAGUAAUGCUCUUGGUGUAUUUCAUAA
Quercus robur (English oak) is the source of this 1868-nucleotide RNA transcript. RefSeq lists it as uncharacterized. The record is from RefSeq and is a predicted model, not a curated record. The transcript is spliced from 5 exons. Lineage: Eukaryota; Viridiplantae; Streptophyta; Magnoliopsida; Fagales; Fagaceae.